RNAcentral lists this non-coding RNA (130 nucleotides) under unclassified sequences. The record is from RNAcentral.
GCAUUGAAUCGUGAUGGGAAAUUAAUGUGAAAAUCAUUAGCUGUGCCUGCAACGGUUAAAGUCCGAGUGCCAUCCAAUGUAGUCCGCUGUUGAAUGAGGGCCAGGGAAAGUCUAAUUCUACAAUUUUAAU